AAACGCACUGUAUUUAGAGAAAAGAACAUAGUAUCGUAAAAGUCGUAGAGUAAUAGUAACGCGCAUCAACCCACACCUACCAGAGACGUUACCACCACCACAACAAGGAUCCACAUCAAUACAAGCAUUUGGACAGUAUAAUAUGAAACAUUAAGAUAAACCUGUACACACUAAUAAAUAAUGGAUGCGGACAAAAUGGUUCGACAAAUAUUAUCAUGAUUCACGAACAAAUUCGAUAUAGAUGCAACUAUAACCAGAGAACUUCUAGUAGGUAGUCACUAUUAAAGUUCAACAGUUAAAAAAUUAAAUUUGCACAGAAAAGAAAACAAUAUGUUAUAAUACAAAUCAUCCCGAAAAUGGGGGGAACCUGCAACAAUCGUUCAUAUAAUUCCCGCAAUUGUUGCCACACGAAAUUUGGAAGACCAUCGUGAGUGUAUACGACUUUUUUAUGAUUAUUAACACCAUAAUUAUUGGUCAAUAUUGUUUUUGAUGACAUAUUGAAUAUGCAAUGAUACAUAAUGAGGACUUCAGUAUCCAAAGGAACUGCGCUUUGGUAUUAUGGAAGAAACAAUAAUGGAACGUAGACAAUCAACAAUCAAUACGCCGAGAUAAGAAUGAUUCUCCGAGCUAGGUGGGUAUGUAAUUGCAGUGUUAAAGCCCUAAAGGAUAAUAUUAAUUUUUGACGUAGAGACAUCGCUUAAAACUUGGCGGAAGCCACAACACAAAAGACAUAUACUGUCUUAACAACAAUAGAAUCAAAAGCGUGGUAUGGUUUAUUACAUUAUAUAAUAUACCGAUAUAAUAUACGAGCGGAAUAAAAAGCUGUAAUACUAUACGAAAAAAAAAAAUUCUAUUUGUCGAUUUUUCAUUUUUCUGUUCUUAUAUAGUUGUACUUUCUUAUUUUUAUAAAUAAACAUGGCUUAUAAUGCUUAUAUAUAUUAUAUAAAUGGCUAGCAGCAAAAACGUGGUUUAGAAAAGAAAAAAAAAUACAAACAUCUUUAACCAUCAACGAAAAAAAAAAUUGGACCAAUGUAUCAUAAAUGAAUUGUUCUUACUGGCAAUAGCCUUAUUCAUUUACGAAACCUUGCACUUUUCAAUUGGUUUUUUUUUUUUUAGUUCUUUCAAUCUAUAUUAUUUAUUUUUCUUCGUUUCUUUUCAUCAUAAGUUAAUUGCUCCUCUUUUGAUGAAUUAAAAAUUCAGCUCUUUAUUUCUGGGUAAUCGAAGUUACUGGGUUUUAAAUAAACUUGACUUUGUAUUCGUUAUUUUUGUGGUUCGUAAAGUCUACCUACACAGUGAUUUAAUUUUUACUAAUACAUGUUUGGUAAUAAAGUUUAGACAGUUUAAUUUACUCUUGGGUAAUUUAAAUUUUGGUUCAACUUAACUUAAAAUGUAAUACUCAACGUAAUAAAUCAUAAAUGCACAAGCAAAUAACAACACAUUUUAAUAGAGUUUAUACAGUUAAUGUAAUCAAUUAUAUACUCUGUUUAAUACCAGCACACGUUAUACUAUUACAUUCAAAGCAUUCCGAUUAAAAUUAAAGAUAUAUCAUUGAUUCAAAACGGAAUUCAAUCUAUACAUAUUUUUAUAUGUUAUUAUUCAAUUAGUGAUGCUAAAUAAGUCAACCAAUAAUGGAUGGAAUAGAGGGAAUUGCAUAAUUUGUUUUUUUUUGUAGCUGCAGACAGUUUUGGAAGAAAG
This is a long non-coding RNA of Myzus persicae (green peach aphid), 1695 nucleotides long. RefSeq lists it as uncharacterized. The record is from RefSeq and is a predicted model, not a curated record. Lineage: Eukaryota; Metazoa; Arthropoda; Insecta; Hemiptera; Aphididae. The transcript is spliced from 3 exons.